Molecule: non-coding RNA, 24 nt
Filed under: Arabidopsis thaliana (thale cress)
Lineage: Eukaryota; Viridiplantae; Streptophyta; Magnoliopsida; Brassicales; Brassicaceae
Source: RNAcentral
ACCUAAUUAACGGAUCCAAGGUAC